RNAcentral lists this long non-coding RNA (794 nucleotides) under Neodiprion pinetum (white pine sawfly). Its description in RNAcentral is "uncharacterized LOC124216845, transcript variant X1". Lineage: Eukaryota; Metazoa; Arthropoda; Insecta; Hymenoptera; Diprionidae. The record is from RNAcentral.
CGGAUUCGGUCACCUUCGCACUGCGGUCACAUUGUGACUUACAGACCGCGCGGGUGAGUCUUUUGCGAAUCGUUAUGAUCACCGCGGCUUCUGCUUACUUCGAGAAGUAAUUACAUUCGGCAACGAGAGAACCGAGAUGCAGGGUAAAUUUACGUGGACGAAUCUCCAGCGGCUGGAUGCAUCCGUACGGAUUGACGAUGAUCGUAGAUCUUACAGCUAAGCUUGCUUCUUGCAUCGACGCACACGCUCGGUCGGUUGUCAGGUACAAGGCAAUUUCUCGCGAUUAAGCUGCGCAGCUGCUGCGGAGCCGUAGACUUACAUCUCUCAUCCUUGGCGCAGAACUGCAGACUGGAAAAGUUUUCGCCAAGCUGCAGUGCCGGCUAAACCCCGGCUACACCUUCUUCGUUCCCCGAUACAUGCACGUCCUUAUGUGAGAUCGUCAAGAAUCAGCUAUGCAAUGCCCACGCUUAUAUUACAGUGUAGGUGUACAGUCACCGUAUUAUACGGAGUUGGAAAUUUCUUCAGGUAUUUUGAUUGACCUGUGACGAGAAGAAAUGUGUUGGUAUUUUUAUCGAAGGUUUAGACGCGCGAAAAUAAAAAUACGAACCGCAUCACAAAACACCGCAAAUUUUUUAUACGGUUGAAAGGAUGACUGUGACUCAUAGAUUUAUCCCUGUGAGAAAUUGAACGCCGCGUAAGAUAUUUAACCCAUUGUAAAAAUGUAUGGUUUUUAUCGGUUGUUUCUACUUUUGCUUGCUAUGAUUAUACACUGUCUAUAAAAUGAUAUUAUGACU